AUUAUAUUAACAAGAUGCUCACUCCUUCAGAUCACAGAGUGGUGCGAGCCGUUCGGAACUGCAGGGCCAUCCACACUCUAGUGUUUGUUUCUGGCAAGCCCCCUGGUGAAAGCACAAGGAACUUCAUUGAACGGCUGCCCUGCCCUGAAUUUCAGACCUACCAGCAACUCCAGUUGAUGCUAUUUCUUGGUGGCAUAUUUGUACAAUGGAAUGUUACUCAUCUUAAAGGAAUGCUGGGCUGAUAUAUACUACAAUGUGGAUGAACCUUGAGCAUACCAUGGCUAAGUAAAAGAAGCCAUGAAAGUUAUACAUAUUGUACAAGUCCAUGAAAUGCCUAUGCUUUGAUUUGCCUGUAAUUUGAGCGUUCUUCCAGGUUUUCAUGUAUUGAAAUUAAUGCCUGUCAUGAAGUAUGAAGCGUUUGGAAACAUAAUCUAAUUAUAGUGUUUAGAGUCUUCAGGGAGUGAAUGAUUGUGAUUAGAUAAUGUAUUAGAGUGGAGGCUCUAAGAUGGAUUUCUCGUUGCUUAUAAGAAGGAAGGAGGAUACACAAACGCAUGGGCACUCACUGUUUCUUCCAAUGCUGUCACCUGUGCCACCUGGGAACACUUACUGAUAAGGAAGUCAUCAUCAGAUACGAUCCAUCUCCUUUCAAUCAGAACUAAUAACCAAAAUAAAUUCAUUUUCUUCAUGAGUCACCGAGUUUGUGGUUUAAUACCUAUUGGCAAAAGAAACGGAUGAAUAUAGUCUAGAAUAGGCAAAUAUAUUGAGAUGCAAAGUACAUUAGUAGUUACUUCAUCUAGGAGAAGGUACAUGUGGAAUGGGUGUUUAAUGGAUAUUGGCUUCUUUGGGGGAGUGAAGUAAUGUUCUGGAACUAGAUUAUUGUAAUGAAUAAAUGGCUUUGAACU
Molecule: long non-coding RNA, 902 nt
Filed under: Rattus norvegicus (Norway rat)
Lineage: Eukaryota; Metazoa; Chordata; Mammalia; Rodentia; Muridae
Description: long non-coding RNA NONRATT031138
Source: RNAcentral